GGAUCACAGUGGAGCUGCAGCUGGAUAUGUUCAGUAAAGAAACCUUACAAAAGUUAACAAUAAACCUGCAUCUCUGUACGUUGUUGUCCACAGGAUGAGAAAAUCAAACUGGAAGACUGUGGAACAUGUUAAUAAAUGUUUGUGUUUAUCCCUGUGUCUUUCACAGGAGGCGCUGAAAGGUUUCCCUAAUAGUUCCUGGUGAAUCAAAGCAGAACCAUAAAGGUUGCUGGACUGCAUGAUGGCCUUACCCCUGAGCAGUCAUCCUGUUAAAGGAGGAACUAGUUAGAAGCUGUUUUCAAAGUAGCAGAGCAGAUUUCAUCUCAACAGACAAAGCCGAUGGCAGAAGAUGUUUGGAGAAGAACUUCAGGCCGUGUACUGACAAGAUCAAAGCAGCUCGUGCUCUUUCUGCUUCCAUUUUGAUGGCAAGAAGAAGAAAAAGAAGAAGAAGAAGACUUCAGCGACGUGGCGUUCAUGGUCUCAGUGGACAGUCAUGGUCACAUACUGCAUGUGGUUUUAAAAGCAACAUGUCUGUUCACCACAACAAUCGAGAUGUGUAAUAUCAGUGCAGCUACGGUUUGUUCUUGAACAUCAGUUCUGUUUUCUACUUUGACCACUUAGACCAAAAAAGUGUUGUUUUCAGAUUCUUUCUUUUAAAUCUGUAAAGCACCUGUUCAUUUUUUAUUACAAUUAGUUUCACAUAAAUAGUAGUGUUUCCUUUAUGAUCUUUUAAUGCUUACACUACACUGUACACGUCUACAUUAGAGACAUUUCUG
Pelmatolapia mariae (spotted tilapia) is the source of this 773-nucleotide long non-coding RNA. RefSeq lists it as uncharacterized. NCBI's taxonomy places the organism in Eukaryota, Metazoa, Chordata, Actinopteri, Cichliformes, Cichlidae. The transcript has 3 exons. The record is from RefSeq and is a predicted model, not a curated record.